GGCAUAUUAGCUCAGUUGGUUAGAGCGUCAUGCUAAUAGUGCAAAGCUCGUAGGUUUGAUACCUACAUGGGCCA
Molecule: transfer RNA, 74 nt
Filed under: Cucumis sativus (cucumber)
Lineage: Eukaryota; Viridiplantae; Streptophyta; Magnoliopsida; Cucurbitales; Cucurbitaceae
Rfam family: tRNA
About the family: Transfer RNA (tRNA) molecules are approximately 80 nucleotides in length. Their secondary structure includes four short double-helical elements and three loops (D, anti-codon, and T loops).
Source: Rfam by way of RNAcentral